GAUGAAGAACGUAGCGAAAUGCGAUAAGUAAUCUGAAUUGCAGAAUUCAGUGAAUCAUCGAAUCUUUGAACGCACCUUGCACCCUUUGGCAUUCUGAAGGGUAUGCUCGUUUGAGUGUCAUUGUACUCUCACACUCCCGAUCUUUGCAUUGGGAGCAGUGGACUUGGGUUUGCUGCUUCACCGUCGCUUACCUCAAAUAGGUUAGUGCAACUCUUGGUUGGACAUAGUACGGCGUGAUAAGUGUUCUUCGCCGGUGCCUCGCAAAGAGGGUGGCCGAUCGGGAUGUUGUGCUCCAAACCGUCUUCGGACAAUCUCUGACGACUUGACCUCAAAUCGAGUAAGACUACCCGCUGAACUUAAGCAUAUCAAUAAGCGGAGGA
Molecule: unclassified non-coding RNA, 380 nt
Filed under: soil metagenome
Description: partial contains 5.8S ribosomal RNA, internal transcribed spacer 2, and large subunit ribosomal RNA
Rfam family: 5.8S ribosomal RNA (bases 1-120)
Source: RNAcentral